RNAcentral lists this ribosomal RNA (558 nucleotides) under fungal sp. SFY00C1. Its description in RNAcentral is "eukaryotic LSU rRNA". The stretch from base 230 to 383 matches the Rfam family "5.8S ribosomal RNA". The record is from RNAcentral. Lineage: Eukaryota; Fungi.
UGGGAAGUAAAAAUCGUAACAAGGUUUCCGUAGGUGAACCUGCGGAAGGAUCAUUACAGUAGUCACCCAGGUUGCCGCAAGGCCUCCUGGGUAACCUACCACCCUUUGUUUAUUACACUUUGUUGCUUUGGCAAGCCUGCCCUCGGGCUGCUGGCUCCGGCCGGCGAGCGCUUGCCAGAGGACCUAAACUCUGUUUGUCUAUACUGUCUGAGUACUAUAUAAUAGUUAAAACUUUCAACAACGGAUCUCUUGGUUCUGGCAUCGAUGAAGAACGCAGCGAAAUGCGAUAAGUAAUGUGAAUUGCAGAAUUCAGUGAAUCAUCGAAUCUUUGAACGCACAUUGCGCCCCCUGGUAUUCCGGGGGGCAUGCCUGUCCGAGCGUCAUUACAACCCUCAAGCUCAGCUUGGUAUUGGGCCCCGCCGACCCGGCGGGCCCUAAAGUCAGUGGCGGUGCCGUCCGGCUCCGAGCGUAGUAAUUCUUCUCGCUCUGGAGGUCCGGUCGUGUGCUCGCCAGCAACCCCCAAUUUUUUCAGGUGACCUCGAUCAGUAGUCCAGUCCC